GUGAAAGUUUCCAAGGGCGCAUGGUGGAUGCCUUGGCAACAGGAGCCGAAGAAGGACGUGGGAAUCUGCGAUAAGCCUGGUGGAGUCGAUAACCGGACGUUGAGACCAGGAUUUCCGAAUGGGGAAACCCCGCACGACGUGUCGUGUGACCCCCGGUUGAACACAUAGACCGGGUGGAGGGAACGUGGGGAAGUGAAACAUCUCAGUACCCACAGGAAGAGAAAACAAAAGUGAUUCCGUUAGUAGUGGCGAGCGAACGCGGAUGGGGCUAAACCGUAUGUGUGUGAUACCCGGCAGGGGUUGCAUGUGCGGUGUUGUGGGCCCCUCCUUGUCAUGUCUGCCGGCAUGGCGCAGUGAGGUGCGGGCAUAUAGACGAACCAGUGUGGAUGCUGGACCGUAGAGGGUGAGAGUCCCGUAGUCGAAAUGUGUUCCGCCGCUGUUGGAGGGUUGCCCGAGUAGCACGGGGCCCGAGGAAUCCCGUGUGAAUCUGCCAGGACCACCUGGUAAGCCUGAAUACUACCUGUUGACCGAUAGCGGAUCAGUACCGUGAGGGAAUGGUGAAAAGUACCCCGGGAGGGGAGUGAAAUAGUACCUGAAACCAUGUGCCUACAAACCGUUGGAGCCUCCUUGUGGGGUGACAGCGUGCCUUUUGAAGAAUGAGCCUGCGAGUUAGUGAUACGUGGCGAGGUUAACCCGUGUGGGGAAGCCGUAGCGAAAGCGAGUCUGAAUAGGGCGAUUGAGUCGCGUGUCCUAGACCCGAAGCGGAGUGAUCUACCCAUGGCCAGGUUGAAGCGCGUGUAAGAGCGCGUGGAGGACCGAACCCACUUCAGUUGAAAAUGGAGGGGAUGAGCUGUGGGUAGGGGUGAAAGGCCAAUCAAACUCCGUGAUAGCUGGUUCUCCCCGAAAUGCAUUUAGGUGCAGCGUCACGUGUUUCUUCCCGGAGGUAGAGCUACUGGAUGGACGAUGGGCCCUACAAGGUUACUGACUUCAGCCAAACUCCGAAUGCCGGGAAGUGAGAGCGUGGCAGUGAGACUGUGGGGGAUAAGCUUCAUAGUCGAGAGGGAAACAGCCCAGACCACCGGUUAAGGCCCCUAAGCGUGUGCUAAGUGGGAAAGGAUGUGGAGUUGCUGAGACAACCAGGAGGUUGGCUUAGAAGCAGCCACCCUUGAAAGAGU
This 1175-nucleotide ribosomal RNA is filed under the name Listeria monocytogenes. Its description in RNAcentral is "partial 23S ribosomal RNA". It matches the Rfam family "Bacterial large subunit ribosomal RNA", at positions 1 to 1131 of the family's 2925-position model. Lineage: Bacteria; Bacillati; Bacillota; Bacilli; Caryophanales; Listeriaceae. The record is from RNAcentral.